ACAAAGCGGUAUAGUGAGCACAGAAGAGGCCCUCUUCAGAAGGACGUUUUUCACUUUUGAAAAGUACAAUGCAAAUGGACACCUUUGUUCCCCUUCCCUCUGUCACCUGUCUCCACCCCUCUGCAUGAGAUACCUGGACUCUCUAAGGACCAGCAGCGCAGUCACAGCUCUGGAGGGACAGAAGGCCCCGAGCGGCUGAGCAAGGCACCCAGUGCAGACAGGCUGAGGCCGGGGAGUUUAGCCUGGGAUAAAGGAAGCAGAGAAGACAGUGAAAAAAUCAGAGAAAGAUCAUGACACGAGUUUGGAAAGAAGUGGAGGCAAGAAGGCCUGUCAUUUGCAAUGACACAGAAGGGCCAAAUCAAACCCUGUGAAGAAAGCAAAAGUGAGAUGGAUUUACCCAAGAUCAUUUCCCUGGAUACCUCCAGCUCCGUUAGAUCCAAAUUUCCAGUGAUGACUCUGAAGCAUCAGAUCAUGUAAUCUGAAAUACAAGGGUAUAUAGCACAAAUAAUGAAAUAUUUUAACAAUAAAAACACCAAGUGAAUUAAA
Molecule: long non-coding RNA, 546 nt
Organism: Equus caballus (horse)
Lineage: Eukaryota; Metazoa; Chordata; Mammalia; Perissodactyla; Equidae
Source: RefSeq, a predicted model, not a curated record